RNAcentral lists this ribosomal RNA (301 nucleotides) under uncultured bacterium. Its description in RNAcentral is "partial 16S ribosomal RNA". It matches the Rfam family "Bacterial small subunit ribosomal RNA", at positions 509 to 807 of the family's 1533-position model. The record is from RNAcentral.
CAGCCGCCACGGGAAAACAGAGGGUGCAAGCGUUAAUCGGAAUUACUGGGCGUAAAGCGCGCGUAGGUGGUUUGUUAAGUUGGAUGUGAAAGCCCCGGGCUCAACCUGGGAACUGCAUCCAAAACUGGCAAGCUAGAGUACGGUAGAGGGUGGUGGAAUUUCCUGUGUAGCGGUGAAAUGCGUAGAUAUAGGAAGGAACACCAGUGGCGAAGGCGACCACCUGGACUGAUACUGACACUGAGGUGCGAAAGCGUGGGGAGCAAACAGGAUUAGAUACCCCUGUAGUCCCUGUCUCUUAUAC